GAUUACUUGGCACUGGCCUCCACCAUCUCCAUUGUGAAAUGGCUCAGAGGUAAUGACAGGUGCAGAGCCUGUUUAGGGUCCCAAUUAGAUAACCCUGAAAGGUUGCCCUAGACAAGGGGCCCACAAAAUUUUCCAUCAAGGGCUAUUUAGUAUUUCCAGCUUUGCAGGCCAUAUGGCUUUUGUUAUCACUCCUUAACGCUGCCACUGAACAUGAAAGUAACUACAGACAAUAUAUGAAGGAAUAUAUGUAGCUGUGCCAAUAAAACUUUAUUUACAAACACAGUUACCAGGCUGGAUCUCACACAAUGGCUGUAGUUUGCCUACCGUGCUCUAAACAAUGGGUAAUUUUCCACUGAAGUACCAGGAAAUCCAAAAGUAAGAUGUUGUUAUGGGCUGAAUUGUGUCUCUCCCAAAUUCAUAUGCUUCAGCCCUAACUUCUACUACCUCAGAAGAUGACUGUAAUGGGAUAUAGGGUGAUUAAAAGUAAAUUAAAAGAGGUAGUAGUAAAAGUAGAUUAAAUGAGGUGAUUAAAGUAAAAUGAGGUCAUCACAGCAGGGCCUAACCCAGUAGCACUGGUGUCCUCAGAAGAAGUAAAGAUCAGGGAACAGUCACGGAGGAAAGACCAGUAAAGACUUGGCCAGGAGCCAAGGAGAGAGGCCCCAGAAGACACCAAAUUUGAGAACACCUUGACCUCAGACUUCUAGCUUCCAGAACUGUGAGUAAAUUUGCUUGUGCUGUUUAAAGCACUCUGGCUGGCAGUUUGUUACAGCAGCCGGCAAAGACCAAUCUAGAUGUCUAGUUUGGAGAAGACAGCUAUGUAAUCCUGGCUCAAAUGAGUAGGGUAGACCAAUUUUCCCCUAAAGUUUUUUUUAUUGAAUGCAGUAUCUUCAAGCUGUACUUCAAAGGUGGAGAUGGGGAACAGGUUUAAUGUCAGAUAGCUUGGAAAUGAUAGCAAAUCAUCAUUCCUUCUUAGAAACCCAUGGUGCCUUCUGUGUGUCAGAAGCUCUUGAGAUGUGCUGCAAACAGAUCUGUUUUGACCUGAAUCCCCUAAACUUUGAGUGCCUUUUAAAGAUGCAAUGCUGAUGAAUAAAACAGUAAGCUAGGAACACACUCUAGAACACUGGCAUGAAGACUGUGAGGCGGAUAUUCUGAGGACGUGAAAGUGCCCGGGGACGGAGCCCUGGGAAGGCUGGCGGAGAGAACACAGAUGGCAUUGGACAGCAGCACUCACCUGAGUUUUGAUCACACCUUGUAAAGACACUCAUGAAGGAGGACUUACAGACCUGCUUUAAAAAGUGAACAGGCUCGAGACAGACUGGGAGGAGAAAGUCGUGGGGCGUCAGGAAGAGCCCAAAGUGCUGCCACCCAGAGCCAAGGAGCGCUGAGGCUGGCUGGUGUUGCCAGAGGGAGGAAGAGGAUUGUCUCUGGAGGUUUCUGAGGGAGAUGGCCCUGCGACACCCUGAUCUCAGCUUCCAGCCUCCUGAACUGUGGGACCACAGACUUCUGUUGUUCAGAGGCACCAGAGCCUCGCUCCUUUCCUGAGACCCAGGGAGCUGGCAAAGGACUAACCUUGUGGGACUACUUGGACGAUGGAAUGGAAGAAGGUGAGUGUAUUGGUGAGGAAUGUUUUCACUGAAAGAAAUAGAAACUCACAAUGACUGUUGAAAUGGGACCUGCGUGUUAGGGUCGGAGGGUAUCUGGUGAAAGGUACUUGGCAGCCCCCUCCCCACUCCCCGGAUGUCUGAGCACCAGCUUUCUCCUCCCUGCCACACAGAGUUUCUUACAGCUUCUCUGCCACAACUGGACUGGAUCUAUCCUUCUACCAACUUUGGGCUUUCUGGGUAUUGUCCCUUUUCAUUUGCUUAUUCAUUUAUUCCACAAAAUAGUUUUAUGUCCACCUGUACCCAGAUCCUGCUAGAUCUUGCAGGUCCCCAGUGCUCCUCCCUCCCAUCUGAGGGCUUGUUCCUCCUUCCCGGACUCUCCCUGAACCCAAGGAGACUUUAACCCGCUGCUGGGAGCAUAUUCUGGCACUCAAUUUGUAUUGGUUGAUCAAAUGAAUACACAGAAAAAGACUUUUUAAAAAAAUUGCCACCCUUCCAGCCCCAGCCCCUUUCCCUGGCAGUCUGGUGCAAUGCAUGCCCCUUGAACUCAGCACUAAGUUACGUGCUGGUGCCUGGAGAUUGUGCAGAGGGGACCCAGCCAUUACCAGCACCUCCGAGCACUGAUUUUCCAGGAUCCCAGGGGUUUAUGCAUGCUAAUAGGACUCUCUUCCCAUUCCUGCAAUAAGAGCACUGUGUCCUGCUACCUCAAAUUGGCUCAAGAGCAACCACACCCCUGGAGGGGCGGGUCUUUUAUUGGCAUCCUGCUGCAUGGGGUGCUAAGGGUGCAGGGUCAGCUGAAGGCCGCACUGGGUUCUGAUCUGAAAUACCCAUUUCACACUGUCCUGUACCUGACUGGCACAGCCCCCUGCCCUGGAUGGGUCACUGCCUCCCAGUGUGCCCACUGUGCCCAGGACCUCCCUGGCACCUUGGCCAGGAGGGCAGCAGCUCCCCUUCUUUCUCCUGUCCACUAUGUGAUAGGAUAGUCAUACGCACAAGAAAUUACCCAUGGCAGUUGUGAGACAAUGAGGUACAAUCCUAGGACUGAAAAGAGCAGUUUUCAGCAUAUUUAAAAGUUGACCCGUGCUAGCAGCCGCCUAGCAGAAGACCCCAGAUUCCUGAUUAGGAUGGGUCUGAAUUGCUGAGAGGGGCACUGAGUACCCAUCAAGGCCCAGCCUCUCACCUGCAUGCCCUGGAAGGAGCCACGGCUUCCACAUACCCCUCUGUACCCCACCCCGACCUUGCUGACUUCAAAAGCUCAUGAAAAUGCAAGUCAGGUGUGGUGGCACAUGGCUAUAAUCCCAGCACUCGGGGAGGCUGAGGCAGGAGAAUCACAAGUUCAGGACCAGCCUGGGCAACUUUGCAACUUAGCGAGAGAGGCCCUGUCUCAAAAUAAAAAAAUUUUAGAAAGGGCUGGGGAUAUAAAUCAAUGAGAAGGCCCUAGGAUCAAUCUCCAGUAACACACACAUACACACACACACACACACACACACACACACACACCACACAGCACAUAUAUUACUAAGUGCAUAUAAAAUGUAUCUAUAUAGGAAGAGGAAGAGGGAGGACUUUAGGGAGCCCAAGAAAUGCAAUCAAUCUUUUAUUGUGCUGCAUAAACAAUUGCUGCAUGUGUUCCAGCCUUCUCAGACUGUGAAGAAUGUUCUAAGAGGCAGGGCUGGGAGGAGUGGGGCAGAGCAGGCGUAGGGGGCUCUUGGAAUGCUCCAAGUGAAGGACUGAACACUAUGUUUUCCUGGGCCUCAGCUCUGCUUGUAGAUUGAUUUUCCUAUUUUUUUUAACAGCAUAUUUUUAUUGAAACAAUUGGUAUAGUAUGGAGUGGAAUGCAAACUUUCUAUGAACUUUUAAGAUAAAACACAAGGUUUUUUUUCACACACGUACCUCUUUUAUUCUGUUUGUACACACAGUGCCUAGAGCUUCCAUUUAUACACUGGUCCAACUGCAUUUGUUUGUAAAACACAAGUUUUUAAGGAAAUGUCUCACUUCGACCAAUUUUCAUCUCGGAAAGUAGAGUCCUUUCUUGCCAGAAUGGGGUUCCCUAGGGUUGGUGGGGGCUUUGUAUAGAGUGUUAUAAUUUAGAUCUGAAUUGCCCGCCCCCCCAUUUCAUCUGUUCAGAGGUGGGUCUUUGCAAGGCAAUUGUAUCACGGGUGUACUGUACUGUGUCAGUGGAUUCAUCCAUUGAUGAGUUCAAGGCUGAGUGUUCUUAGGCGGUGGGGCCUGGUUGGAGGAAGUAGUUCACUGAGGGCAUGCCUUUGGAGGGUCUGUCUCUUGCUCUGGCUCUUUCGUGUCUCUCACUGCUUCCAGGAUCCCAUGAUUUGAGCAAUUUUCCUCCCCCAGGCUCUUGGGCCAUGCUGUUUCUGCCUUGGAGCCAACCGUGCAUGGACUGAACCCAAUAAAAUCGUGAGCCAAAAUAAACCUCUCCUCUUUUAAGUUGUGAGUGUCAAGUAUUUUGUCCCAGGUACAGGUCAAGCUCAAGGUGACUGAGUGGCGGUCCAGACUCCCCACUGAGAGGAUGGGCUGUGUUCCAUAGGGCCUCUGGCCAGGUGGCCUGUGGAUUUCAGCUUUUAGGCUCGGGUGUUGACCCAUGAGCUCUCCUAGGUUGAGUUGGAGGAGAGAUGGAGAAGGAAGGAAGAGGGCACCAAGGGAAGAGGCAACAUCUCCAGAGGAAGAGCCAGGGGCCCUCAGUUCCCUCCACAAGUUUGUGAGCAGUCCCACCCAGAGCCAGCCUGGCAGCUUCAGCACCACAGGACAUGUGAGAGCCCCUGGGAUGGGCCAGCCAAGGCAUCUCUCUCACAGCUGGGAAAAUGAGAGCUCAGAGUUUGGGAGUGGCUGGCAAGAAGUCCCACAUCUAAUUAGUGCCAGAGUUAUAUUUUCAGUAUUCAUGGGAUUAUCAGAAGUAUAUAGUAGAGUUGCAAUUUAUAUUAGCAGGAUGGUUGGGUCAGAAAACAUUCUGCUGGAGUAAAGUAUGAAGGGACAGUUGCAGAAAGGAAGAAAAUUAAUUCAAAGACACAAAUAUCCGGGAGAAAGAGGGCUUACCAAUCAGGGUGGCAUUUGAUUGAUGAACACAUGAGUUUAUUGUUCUCAGGUUAGUUUACAGGGUUCAAGGCUGUGGGCUCUAAGUGUUUUUUUACCAAACAGGAUUUAGAAUUCUUAGCAGAAUCCCUGGAAAUAUUUCUUCACCAUUUUAUUUUUAAAACCCCCUUAUGCCACUUGGAUUUGCACUGCCUGAGUGGCUGAUUUGCCUCCAAACUGGAAACUUUGCCUAGUUAAAGAGCCAUGCAGAACUGAAACCAGCAUGUGGAGCAGGCAGCUCUGAAAAGGAGCCCUUCCCAGUGGGCAGGGCCUCUGCAGUGGUCACCAGAGGGUAGGUACGCUUUGGUGUUUCAAGCUGGGGAGAACCAGCAAUUAGACAUACAUUGUGUUUUGGGGUUUUUUUUUUUUUUUUUGGUUUUUUUGGCAGUUCCGGGGAUCAAAAACUCAGGACCUUAUGCUUGCCAGGCAGGUGCGGCGCCACUGAGCUACAUCCCGGGCCCUAUAUACUGUUUUAUCAAGAACCAGCUUUGCCAUUGCUCUCUGCCACCUCCAUCUCUGUCAAAAAUGGUCCAGUGGCAACAACUAGGUGCUUGGUUUGACUGAACAAUGAGGGAAAUAAAAGUUCCCAUUUUAAAACUGUGUGUUAAUUAUUUCAGGGACAUUCUUCCUGCCAAUCUUUUAUAAAUUAUCCAGGGGAAGUGAUUCUGUAAAGCAACACACAGUGGAAUGCUUCAUCUGACAUAACUUCCUUCGUUUUUCAUCCAGUUGAAACGAUUCCAGGAGCCUCAACUAGCAAUCAAGUUGGGAGAAAAGUACACAGCACGUUCUCCAAACCCAGCCGUUCCUUGAGCUGUGGUGGGGCCCGGCACCCUUGUUUCCUUUCCCAGGAUUCACCGUGAGCGGUGGGCAGAGUCUGGGAACAGCCUAAUGACUGAGGACACUUCAUUCCCAGCGACCGAAGGGAUGAGUGAGAAUGCUGGCCAGUCUCAAGUGUAUGUUUAAAGCACUAGA
Molecule: non-coding RNA, 5657 nt
Organism: Heterocephalus glaber (naked mole-rat)
Lineage: Eukaryota; Metazoa; Chordata; Mammalia; Rodentia; Bathyergidae
Source: RefSeq, a predicted model, not a curated record